This is a small nucleolar RNA of Bombina bombina (fire-bellied toad), 131 nucleotides long. RefSeq annotates it as small nucleolar RNA SNORA40. Lineage: Eukaryota; Metazoa; Chordata; Amphibia; Anura; Bombinatoridae. The transcript has a single exon. The record is from RefSeq and is a predicted model, not a curated record.
UGCACUUUUUGACCUAGUUUGGCCUCACUUUGGGAACAGACAUUCAAAAAAGUGCAAAUAAAAACUACCUUCUUUUGCAACCCACAACGAAUUGUGAAGUAUGAGUUGUGUUACUUAUGGGAAGGGACAUA